Molecule: unclassified non-coding RNA, 242 nt
Filed under: Melitaea cinxia (Glanville fritillary)
Lineage: Eukaryota; Metazoa; Arthropoda; Insecta; Lepidoptera; Nymphalidae
Description: misc RNA ENSMCXG00005001057.1
Source: RNAcentral
UUCAAGUCAACCAUCAACUUGUGCCCAAAGGCACAGUAGUCUCACCGCGACUAGUUUCUUCAGCGGGUCUCCGAACCGCAGUAGUUUAAGAAGAUUGGAGACCAGUGAGAGAUUCUGGGAAAACCUCAAGCAUCUAAGAACUGGGUCAGUUGGAUACGACACUCAGUUGGAUUUCAUGGAUUUCGUCGCUUUGUUUCGGAGUUUUAGGUGAGUAGAUUUUAUUUCUUAAAUUCUGAAUAUUG